CUAAGGCUCCAGAGGAAGCCACGGCUAACUCUGUGCCAGCAGCCGCGGUAAUACAGAGGCGGCAAGCGUUGUUCGGAAUUAUUGGGCGUAAAGAGCACGUAGGCGGCCUUGCAAGUCGGUUGUGAAAGCCUUCCGCUCAACGGAAGAACAGCAGCUGAUACUACAAGGCUUGAGUGCGGGAGGGGAGAGUGGAACUUCUGGUGGAGCGGUGAAAUGCGUAGAUAUCAGAAGGAACGCCGGCGGCGAAAGCGAUUCUCUGGCCUAUUACUGACACUCAGUGUGCGAAAGCUAGGGGAGCAAACGGGAUUAGAUACCCCGGUAGUCCUAGCCGUAAA
This 335-nucleotide ribosomal RNA is filed under the name uncultured Planctomycetales bacterium. RNAcentral's name for it is "bacterial SSU rRNA". It matches the Rfam family "Bacterial small subunit ribosomal RNA", at positions 473 to 806 of the family's 1533-position model. Lineage: Bacteria; Pseudomonadati; Planctomycetota; Planctomycetia; Planctomycetales. The record is from RNAcentral.